This 74-nucleotide transfer RNA is filed under the name Phocaeicola abscessus. RNAcentral's name for it is "tRNA-His(gtg)". It matches the Rfam family "tRNA". Rfam says of the family: Transfer RNA (tRNA) molecules are approximately 80 nucleotides in length. Their secondary structure includes four short double-helical elements and three loops (D, anti-codon, and T loops). Further hydrogen bonds mediate the characteristic L-shaped molecular structure. tRNAs have two regions of fundamental functional importance: the anti-codon, which is responsible for specific mRNA codon recognition, and the 3' end, to which the tRNAs corresponding amino acid is attached (by aminoacyl-tRNA synthetases). tRNAs cope with the degeneracy of the genetic code in two manners: having more than one tRNA (with a specific anti-codon) for a particular amino acid; and 'wobble' base-pairing, i.e. permitting non-standard base-pairing at the 3rd anti-codon position. The record is from RNAcentral. Lineage: Bacteria; Pseudomonadati; Bacteroidota; Bacteroidia; Bacteroidales; Bacteroidaceae. RNAcentral also lists the same sequence under 2 other names.
GUGAUUGUAGUUCAGUUGGUUAGAGCGUCAGAUUGUGGUUCUGAAUGUCGUGGGUUCGAGUCCCACCAGUCACC